Molecule: ribosomal RNA, 252 nt
Filed under: uncultured bacterium
Lineage: Bacteria
Description: partial 16S ribosomal RNA
Rfam family: Bacterial small subunit ribosomal RNA
Source: RNAcentral
GCAAGUCGAACGGUAACGCAAAGUGCUUGCACUUUGGCGACGAGUGGCGCACGGGUGAGUAAUAUAUAGUUAAUGUGCCCCAAAGACUAGGAUAGCCACUGGAAACGGUGAUUAAUACUGGAUAAGCCUCUAUCACAUAAGUGAACGAGGAAAAUGUUUUUUCGCUUUGGGAUCAGACUAUAUCCUAUCAGCUUGUUGGUGAGGUAACGGCUCACCAAGGCAAUGACGGGUAGCGGGUUUGAGAGGAUGAAC